AUUGAACGCUGGCGGCAUGCUUUACACAUGCAAGUCGAACGGUAACAGGCCGCAAGGUGCUGACGAGUGGCGAACGGGUGAGUAAUGCAUCGGAACGUGCCCAGUCGUGGGGGAUAACUACUCGAAAGAGUAGCUAAUACCGCAUACGAUCUAUGGAUGAAAGCGGGGGACCGUAAGGCCUCGCGCGAUUGGAGCGGCCGAUGUCAGAUUAGGUAGUUGGUGGGGUAAAGGCUCACCAAGCCAACGAUCUGUAGCUGGUCUGAGAGGACGACCAGCCACACUGGGACUGAGACACGGCCCAGACUCCUACGGGAGGCAGCAGUGGGGAAUUUUGGACAAUGGGCGCAAGCCUGAUCCAGCAAUGCCGCGUGCAGGAAGAAGGCGUUCGGGUUGUAAACUGCUUUUGUACGGAACGAAACGGCUCUGGUUAAUACCCGGGGCUAAUGACGGUACCGUAAGAAUAAGCACCGGCUAACUACGUG
RNAcentral lists this ribosomal RNA (482 nucleotides) under uncultured bacterium. RNAcentral describes it as "partial 16S ribosomal RNA". It matches the Rfam family "Bacterial small subunit ribosomal RNA", at positions 30 to 507 of the family's 1533-position model. The record is from RNAcentral.